This 77-nucleotide transfer RNA is filed under the name Pseudomonadota bacterium. Its description in RNAcentral is "tRNA-Pro". It matches the Rfam family "tRNA". From Rfam's summary of the family: Transfer RNA (tRNA) molecules are approximately 80 nucleotides in length. Their secondary structure includes four short double-helical elements and three loops (D, anti-codon, and T loops). Lineage: Bacteria; Pseudomonadati; Pseudomonadota. RNAcentral also lists the same sequence under 2 other names. The record is from RNAcentral.
CGGGACGUGGCGCAGCUUGGUAGCGCAUGGCGUUCGGGACGCCAGGGUCGGAGGUUCGAAUCCUCUCGUCCCGACCA